RNAcentral lists this transfer RNA (91 nucleotides) under Bacillota bacterium. RNAcentral describes it as "tRNA-Ser". It matches the Rfam family "tRNA". From Rfam's summary of the family: Transfer RNA (tRNA) molecules are approximately 80 nucleotides in length. Their secondary structure includes four short double-helical elements and three loops (D, anti-codon, and T loops). Further hydrogen bonds mediate the characteristic L-shaped molecular structure. tRNAs have two regions of fundamental functional importance: the anti-codon, which is responsible for specific mRNA codon recognition, and the 3' end, to which the tRNAs corresponding amino acid is attached (by aminoacyl-tRNA synthetases). tRNAs cope with the degeneracy of the genetic code in two manners: having more than one tRNA (with a specific anti-codon) for a particular amino acid; and 'wobble' base-pairing, i.e. permitting non-standard base-pairing at the 3rd anti-codon position. Lineage: Bacteria; Bacillati; Bacillota. RNAcentral also lists the same sequence under 3 other names. The record is from RNAcentral.
GGAGAGUUGUCCGAGUGGUUGAAGGUGUGGCUCUCGAAAAGCCAUAGACUUUAAUAGAGUCUCUAGGGUUCGAAUCCCUAACUCUCCGCCA